Long non-coding RNA from Pistacia vera, 1657 nucleotides. RefSeq lists it as uncharacterized. The transcript has 3 exons. Lineage: Eukaryota; Viridiplantae; Streptophyta; Magnoliopsida; Sapindales; Anacardiaceae. The record is from RefSeq and is a predicted model, not a curated record.
AUCAUUCCCACUCACUCAGCAGUCACGUUUCUCCCCGUCAAAUUUAAAAAGAAAAAAAGUUUAUUUUAAGCCCUAAACUGAAAUUUGGAGGGAACCCAAACAGAGAGUAAACACCCUGUUUUUCGCAAGUUUUAGAAUCGACAACAUCCCCUCUUGUUCUUGCUGCUUGGUUCUCUCUUGGUUUGCUAGAAUAGAUAGGGCAUCACCGCUCUUUGCUAGGAUAGGAGAAGGACACGCAUUAAAGCCCGGGAACAAAUGCUUCAAGGCUGUACCUCCUUCGUCCCGAUCGGCCAUUACCAGUAGCAGAAGAUUACCCAACUACAGGACCCCAGUCAUCUUCUUCCCAUCCCAUAGUUUCUGUCCCUUCAUCCCCGCCCAGUCGCUAGGCACCUGCGAAGGAAUGGAGCUUUUUUAUUCAACAGAGCAUCUUUCGUUAACUCUCUUUACACACUUAUAUUCAAUAUAAGCUGUCAAAGAAUAUUGGACUGGUUGUUGUGUGAAAGAUCUUCAAUUAUUUGUCUUCAGGAAUGAAAUUAAUUGAUGUAAAUGUGCAUCUUGUGAGCAAAGAGAUACAAAUGGCCUGACUGCAGAGAACAGUGAAUUGAAACUGCGCUUGCAAAUAAUGAAGCAACAGGUCCAUUUGCAAGAUGGUGCAGGUCUCUUGGGAACUUUUUUAUAAAGACUAAAAUCCAGUUCUAGUCGACUUAUUGUUUCUCUUUCAUCUUAUAUAUGGUUUUACUAGACAUAUUGAGACCAUAUUGUCUAAGUCAAUAAUUUGUAUUAUUUCCCAUGGGAAUUUGAACUUAGGCAAGAACAUGAAAAACACACUUUGAUGCUUUGUAUUUGGGAACAGUUGAAGGUUGCUUUUAUUGUCAAUUAUGUGUUUAUACACACACACACACACACACACAUUCUAUGUGAAUGUCAAAGCAAGAGAUAGAUAGAUAGAGAGGAUAUACUUAUUCUUUCUCUUUAGUUGCGGAGGGUUUGAAUCCUCACAUGGUUCAAUUUCAUUCUCCAUUUUCCAACAGAACUUUUUACUAUUUCGUUUCAAUAUGUUUAUUACCUCUUGUUGUCUGUUAAUUAUUGUAUUUUUGUUAGAGCCUUUGUUGCUUCUGGAGUGUUCACACAUCAGCAUGCGAUUAUUUGUUUAACAUUUUCUGUCUGUGUUCUGAUGUGCAGCCCUGUGUUGCUUCCAUGUUAGCAGCUUAACUUUAUCGUACCUUUACGUGAUGCAUGUUUGAUCUAUGGCCAUGCGACAUCAGCAGCAGCAGCGAAAUUACCCCUAGCAGCAACAAAACAGCCCCAGGGGGUAGCAACCCCAACAGCAGCCAAAAAACCAGCAGCAGCAGCGAGAAAUCAACCCAGGAGCAGCAACCAAAACCCCAACAGCAGCAGCAAAAUCACCUCGAGCAACAGUAAAGAAAAAUCCCAGUGGCAGCAAAACAGCCCCAGGGACAGCAGCCCUAACAGCAGCAAAAAGACACCAAUAGCACCAAAAGGCCCCAGCAACAGCAGCAAAUCAACCCAAGAGUAGCAAAUCAUUUCAUUGCAGAGGAGACUAUUUUUAUUUGUUAUUGUUGACAAAGUUUGAUGUUAUAUAGACGACAGAAUUUAUGAUUUAAUGUGAUGCAUUCAAUAGGAAAUAUGAUUUAUU